AGUCACAUGGUCUAAUGGUUAUGAUAUCUCGUUCACAAAGUUUGAAAGCCGAGAUGGUUCUGAGUUCGAUCCUCAGUGUGACUA
This 84-nucleotide transfer RNA is filed under the name Blumeria hordei DH14. RNAcentral describes it as "tRNA-Val for anticodon CAC". The record is from RNAcentral. Lineage: Eukaryota; Fungi; Ascomycota; Leotiomycetes; Helotiales; Erysiphaceae.